Cephus cinctus (wheat stem sawfly) is the source of this 410-nucleotide long non-coding RNA. RefSeq lists it as uncharacterized. Lineage: Eukaryota; Metazoa; Arthropoda; Insecta; Hymenoptera; Cephidae. The transcript is spliced from 3 exons. The record is from RefSeq and is a predicted model, not a curated record.
CCUUUACAAAUUGACCUGCACGUACAACGUCGUCUCUCCAUGAAAUUCUAAUAGCGUCUUGCAUCUAUGCUGAUACUCAUCCGCUUGAACGUUGCAUGUACCGGUGCAUCGAAUCUUACGUAUUUUCAAGACGGCCUCCAUUAAAUACGGAUAGAAAUACUCGGGGCAGUCGGCACGCACAGUGCGGAGAAUGACGAUCAUUAAAUUUUUCUAAGCAUACAUCAAAGACAAUGUAUCAGACAUGGAUAUCCAUAGGACGUUCGCGGGACAUCUGUAUGAAAUCCGUUGUUACCAGUUAAAUAUCAGUGUCUGAUCGAUUUUAAAGUGGAAAAAAUUAUUAUUCCGUAACUCCAAAGAAGAAAAUUGUAUACAAAAGUGAAAUAGCGAAGGAAUCAAUAAAUGAAUGGUGU